GACGAACGCUGGCGGCGUGCUUAACACAUGCAAGUCGAACGGAAAGGCCCUGCUUUUGUGGGGUGCUCGAGUGGCGAACGGGUGAGUAACACGUGAGUAACCUGCCCUUGACUUUGGGAUAACUUCAGGAAACUGGGGCUAAUACCGGAUAGGAGCUCCUGCUGCAUGGUGGGGGUUGGAAAGUUUCGGCGGUUGGGGAUGGACUCGCGGCUUAUCAGCUUGUUGGUGGGGUAGUGGCUUACCAAGGCUUUGACGGGUAGCCGGCCUGAGAGGGUGACCGGCCACAUUGGGACUGAGAUACGGCCCAGACUCCUACGGGAGGCAGCAGUGGGGAAUAUUGCACAAUGGGCGGAAGACUGAUGCAGCAACGCCGCGUGCGGGAUGACGGACUUCGGGUUGUAAACCGCUUUCGCCUGUGACGAAGCGUGAGUGAAGGUAAUGGGUAAAGAAGCACCGGCUAACUACGUG
Molecule: ribosomal RNA, 468 nt
Filed under: uncultured bacterium
Lineage: Bacteria
Description: partial 16S ribosomal RNA
Rfam family: Bacterial small subunit ribosomal RNA
Source: RNAcentral